Molecule: RNA transcript, 2078 nt
Organism: Nerophis lumbriciformis (worm pipefish)
Lineage: Eukaryota; Metazoa; Chordata; Actinopteri; Syngnathiformes; Syngnathidae
Gene: slc33a1
Gene name: solute carrier family 33 member 1
Source: RefSeq, a predicted model, not a curated record
UUUCUGUCUUUAUAUUGUUUGUUUUCUCACAUUUUCACGCUCAAUAAAACCCACAAUAAUUCGACUUUGGUUAAUUUUGUGUAAUUUGGCUUUUUUGUGUGUGUGCGCUGUUUGAUUUAGCAUGUCGCUCUUUCCACUGCCAGCACAAUCAGGCUGUUUAAAGCAUGUACACUCGCAGAGGUAAGCCAAGUUCCACUUGACAUGCAGCCUGCUGGGAAGUUGCCCACCACCCGUGUCCCAAAGCCAGACGUCACAAUUGAGUUUGCAGAGGGCUCAGCACCCUUUGACGUCCCGUGUGCCGUCAUGGAGCGCCGGGAUUUGACGUCGCACAAGAAUGGGCGCCAAAGAAAGCUAGCGGGUCUCUCCCCCCGUCCCGAGGCCAUGGUGGACGCCUCUGAGACCGGGCUCCUGGAGGAGGAGGAGGCGGACUUCCUCGCCGCGGGGUCGGACUCGGAGGACCGGAGGCCUCCUGGUAUUCGGUCGGAGCUGGGAAACGUCUUGCUUCUCCUUUUCCUUUACGUGCUGCAAGGGAUUCCUCUGGGACUGGCCGGCAGCAUUCCGUUGAUCCUCCAGAGUCAGAGCGUCAGCUACAGGGACCAGGCCAUCUUCAGCUUUGUCUUCUGGCCAUUUAGCCUCAAGCUGGUGUGGGCGCCGCUUGUGGACGCGCUUUACUUCAGAAAGUUUGGUCGGAGGAAGUCCUGGCUGGUACCCACACAGUACCUGCUGGGCCUCUUCAUGAUUUACUUGUCCGUGAGAGUGGAGUCCCUGCUGCAGGGGGAAGGAGGCCCCGACAUACUGGCGCUCACUGCCGUCUUCUUCAUGCUGGCCUUUCUCGCGGCCACACAGGACAUCGCGGUGGACGGCUGGGCCCUCACCAUGCUGUCCAGAGAGAACGUGGGCUACGCGUCCACCUGCAACUCGGUGGGUCAGACAGCAGGUUACUUCCUGGGCAACGUGCUCUUCCUGGCGCUGGAGUCUGCCGACUUCUGCAAUAAAUACCUGCGCGCGCAGCCCCAGGACACGGGCAUCGUCACCUUGUCAGACUUCCUGUUCUUCUGGGGCGUGGUCUUCCUGGUGUCCACCACGCUGGUGGCCGUGAUGAAAAGUGAGCGCGUGCGUUUCAGAGGCAGGCGGCGAGUGGAGGAGGAGACGCAGGGCGUGUGCGAGACCUACAGGCUGCUGAUCAGCAUCAUCAAGAGGCCCGCCGUCUUCACCUUCUGUGCGCUGCUCCUCACCGCCAAAGUGGGCUUCUCGGCGGCCGACGCAGUGACGGGUCUGAAGCUGGUGGAGGCCGGCGUUCCCAAGGCGCAGUUAGCACUGCUGGCGGUGCCCAUGGUGCCUCUGCAGAUCCUCCUGCCGCUCCUCAUCAGUAAAUACACGGCAGGACCCAGGCCGCUGGACGUCUUCUACAAGGCCUUCCCCUUCAGGUUGAUCAUUGGUCUGGAAUUUGCUCUGCUGGUCUGGUGGACGCCCAGUGUGAGAGGAGAGGAAGGCUUUCCUGUUUACUACUACGGCGUGGUGCUGCUCAGCUACGCCCUGCAUCAGGUGACCUUGUACAGCAUGUACGUGGCCUGCAUGGCCUUCCACGCCAAGGUCAGCGACCCUCUGAUCGGCGGCACCUACAUGACGCUGCUGAACACGCUCACCAACCUGGGAGGUAACUGGCCCUCCACUGUGGCCCUCUGGCUGGUGGACCCGCUCACCUGGAGGGAGUGUCGAGGUGCAGCCGGCCUCACCUGCUCCUCCCCCGAGGCGGCCAAGAUGUGCGUCAAGGAGGGCGGGGCUUGCGUCACAACCUUGGACGGUUACUACGUGGAGUCGUUGGCGUGCGUCUUGAUGGGCGUGGCCUGGUGGGUGUGGUUUGGGAAGAAGAUGAGAAGGUUGCAGGAUCACAGUCCUGCGGCUUGGAGGUGCAGAGUCUGAAUCCUCCUCCGAGUCUCACAGGACUAGAACCUUCUUUCAAUCGCCACAACAUCAGAACUAUUUAGUCUCACAGGACUAGAACCUUCUUUCAGUCGCCACAUGACAACAUCAGAACUAUUUAGUCUCACAGGACUAGAACCUUCUUUCAGUCGCCA